UACGGAGGGUGCAAGCGUUGUCCGGAAUCAUUGGGUGUAAAGGGUGCGUAGGCGGGCUAGUAAGUCUGGGGGUGAAAUCCCACCGCUCAACGGUGGAACUGCCUUGGAUACUGCUAGUCUUGAGUAUGUCAGAGGUCGGUGGAAUUCGUGGUGUAGCGGUGAAAUGCUUAGAUAUCACGAAGAACACCAGUGGUGAAGACGGCCGGCUGGGAUAUAACUGACGCUGAGGCACGAAAGCGUGGGGAGCGAACAGG
RNAcentral lists this ribosomal RNA (254 nucleotides) under uncultured bacterium. RNAcentral's name for it is "partial 16S ribosomal RNA". It matches the Rfam family "Bacterial small subunit ribosomal RNA", at positions 524 to 776 of the family's 1533-position model. The record is from RNAcentral.